CAUGCAGUCGAGCGGGGGAAGGUAGCUUGCUACCUAACCUAGCGGCGGACGGGUGAGUAAUGCUUAGGAAUCUGCCUAUUAGUGGGGGACAACAUUUCGAAAGGGAUGCUAAUACCGCAUACGCCCUAAGGGGGAAAGCAGGGGAUCUUCGGACCUUGCGCUAAUAGAUGAGCCUAAGUCGGAUUAGCUAGUUGGUGGGGUAAAGGCCUACCAAGGCGACGAUCUGUAGCGGGUCUGAGAGGAUGAUCCGCCACACUGGGACUGAGACACGGCCCAGACUCCUACGGGAGGCAGCAGUGGGGAAUAUUGGACAAUGGGGGGAACCCUGAUCCAGCCAUGCCGCGUGUGUGAAGAAGGCCUUUUGGUUGUAAAGCACUUUAAGCGAGGAGGAGGCUACUGAGAUUAAUACUCUUGGAUAGUGGACGUUACUCGCAGAAUAAGCACCGGCUAACUCUGUGCCAGCAGCCGCGGUAAUACAGAGGGUGCGAGCGUUAAUCGGAUUUACUGGGCGUAAAGCGUGCGUAGGCGGCUUUUUAAGUCGGAUGUGAAAUCCCCGAGCUUAACUUGGGAAUUGCAUUCGAUACUGGGAAGCUAGAGUAUGGGAGAGGAUGGUAGAAUUCCAGGUGUAGCGGUGAAAUGCGUAGAGAUCUGGAGGAAUACCGAUGGCGAAGGCAGCCAUCUGGCCUAAUACUGACGCUGAGGUA
RNAcentral lists this ribosomal RNA (704 nucleotides) under Acinetobacter sp. IPPW-10. RNAcentral's name for it is "bacterial SSU rRNA". It matches the Rfam family "Bacterial small subunit ribosomal RNA", at positions 54 to 753 of the family's 1533-position model. The record is from RNAcentral. Lineage: Bacteria; Pseudomonadati; Pseudomonadota; Gammaproteobacteria; Moraxellales; Moraxellaceae.